RNAcentral lists this ribosomal RNA (497 nucleotides) under uncultured bacterium. RNAcentral describes it as "partial 16S ribosomal RNA". It matches the Rfam family "Bacterial small subunit ribosomal RNA", at positions 28 to 507 of the family's 1533-position model. The record is from RNAcentral.
GAUGAACGCUGGCGGCGUGCCUAAUACAUGCAAGUCGAGCGAACAGACGAGAAGCUUGCUCCUCUGACGUUAGCGGCGGACGGGUGAGUAACACGUGGAUAACCUACCUAUAAGACUGGGAUAACUUCGGGAAACCGGAGCUAAUACCGGAUAAUAUAUUGAACCGCAUGGUUCAAUAGUGAAAGACGGUUUUGCUGUCACUUAUAGAUGGAUCCGCGCCGCAUUAGCUAGUUGGUAAGGUAACGGCUUACCAAGGCAACGAUGCGUAGCCGACCUGAGAGGGUGAUCGGCCACACUGGAACUGAGACACGGUCCAGACUCCUACGGGAGGCAGCAGUAGGGAAUCUUCCGCAAUGGGCGAAAGCCUGACGGAGCAACGCCGCGGGAGUGAUGAAGGUCUUCGGAUCGUAAAACUCUGUUAUUAGGGAAGAACAAAUGUGUAAGUAACUGUGCACGUCUUGACGGUACCUAAUCAGAAAGCCACGGCUAACUACGCG